CACUCACCGGCCCUUUUACUGACUGCACACGCAGACGCACACCGUGGUAGGGAUAGAAAGUCGUCUUCAGUAUAAAUGUACAACCGCAGCGGUUCAGUCAUCCCCAACGACAUGUCCCGUUCAGAUCAUAUGCCAUUUGUUGGACACCUGUAUGAGCCAGAUGGAGGAUGAUGGUGGUGAUUGAGCUUUGGCAGAAUGUCUCAGCAAUGGCAGUGCUACUUUAACACCACAGUCUGUUACGGCAGUUUAAUUACUUGAGAAAAUGGGUCUGAGAAAGCAGCUCCAACAAGAGGACCUCUACCAUCUGCAUCGACUGUAUUGAAAAUUUUUCCAGUCGGAAGGUUCAAGACUGGGGAGAUGAAACCAGAGAGAAGAUAUAGCAACAGCUAUACACUGCUGAGCAGUCUUCAGAGGAAUUGAUACUUUACAGGUAAUAAGCAAGACACGCCAAACACAUGACUGAGAUUAAACCAGUGAAAUAUUUUUCUCCUCUUCUUGUCAGACAGGCUCACCAUUAAUUUUCUGUUUGUCGUGUUUAAUUUGCCAUAUAUGAUCACUUGCAGUUUUUCAUCUGCCAGCAACAUUGUGUUACACAUAAUGCAUCAAAGCAGUGUGAAUCUGUAUCACCAGUGUGUCAAACUGACCAUUUUGUUUUUAAAGAAAUUAAAGAGCUAUUAAACU
This is a long non-coding RNA of Toxotes jaculatrix (banded archerfish), 681 nucleotides long. RefSeq lists it as uncharacterized. The record is from RefSeq and is a predicted model, not a curated record. Lineage: Eukaryota; Metazoa; Chordata; Actinopteri; Toxotidae. The transcript is spliced from 4 exons.